GGUAUGAAGCAAUGUCCACAAGUGGUAAAUAAAAUAAUAUGUCAUGCCAAAUAUGAAACAUCGAGAAAAGCGAGAGACAGUGAAAUUGAAAUAUAUACCAACAUACUACGUUAUGCAAUUUCUAUCCUUAUACUUUCCUCGCCAGCUCAACUAUCUUCCUCACUAGAAUCCCAAACUGGGGUUCUCUCGACCUUAGUAACAAGAAAAGUCCACCACUAGACGUUCUUUAUGUACAGUUCAUUCAUAAAGUUCAUUAUAUAGGUCAAACCCAAUGUACAUCGUGUUCUGUGAGUAAAAGUUUCCUCUCAACAGGCUGGUGAACCAUGAAUACCAAGAGCAUUGUAUUCCUGCUGGUGCUGGUGAUCGUGGCCGUCACCGUUGUCAAUGGAAGCAUCAAGUAUCCCUGCCCACAAGUCAACGGGUUUUGUGUAAAUUUUUGUAGUUACGGACAAGAAAUAUCUACCGGCAUCUGCUACGGCAAUAAUAUAUGUUGCAGGGUAAAACAGCAUUACCACUAGUCCACAACAGUGGCCAGACCUGACGGACGCCACCAUGACCUAUAAGAAGACACCCUCAACUGUGUUUGGUGAUCAUCGACGAAACUUCUGUUUUCACAUGCGAUUAGAGAACUUGCUUUACCUAUGAUUUUUUUUAAGCAUUUGGAUUCUGCAACAACCUUUAUUUUCUUGUUCUUGCACAUUUUAAGAAAUGAUGAAGAAUAUUAGUAAAAUUUAAUUUAACUUGAGACUUGCGUCAUUAGCAUGCGCAUCUGCUUAUUUUUGACGUGUAUUGCCUUGUUAAUUCCCUCAUCUAUAAAUGAUAACAUUCAUCUUUGUUUUGAGAGCUUGAUAAUAAAAUUGUUAUAUUAUAAUUAAAAUAAUUGCCUCUUA
RNAcentral lists this long non-coding RNA (890 nucleotides) under Homarus americanus (American lobster). Its description in RNAcentral is "uncharacterized LOC121854136". The record is from RNAcentral. Lineage: Eukaryota; Metazoa; Arthropoda; Malacostraca; Decapoda; Nephropidae.